Molecule: long non-coding RNA, 214 nt
Filed under: Elaeis guineensis (African oil palm)
Lineage: Eukaryota; Viridiplantae; Streptophyta; Magnoliopsida; Arecales; Arecaceae
Description: long non-coding RNA (EGUI_LNC048059)
Source: RNAcentral
UCGCAGUUAAACAAUGUCAGCCUCAAAUCCUCUAGCCCACAUCUUUAAAACUAAUCAUUUGAUCGAAACUAAUUACAAAGACUGGCUCAGAAAUCUCAGGAUUGUCCUGACCUCAGAAAAAUUAAGUCAUAUACUCAAUCAGAAACCCAUAGUAUUAUCAAACCAUCCUACUGCCAAGCAAAAAGUUACUUUUGAAAAGUGGAUGGAUGAAGAC